Molecule: long non-coding RNA, 1147 nt
Filed under: Homo sapiens (human)
Lineage: Eukaryota; Metazoa; Chordata; Mammalia; Primates; Hominidae
Description: novel transcript
Source: RNAcentral
GCACUUCAUAGUCUCCGACGCACCUCCAAACCCUUUCUCCUGCUCUAGGCCCAGCGCCUUGGACGUGCACAGUAGAUCCCUCCCGGCUUCCCGGCUUCCCGUCUCGUCACCCUCUGGGCUGUGACCAUCUAUGACAAGCCGGCAUCUUUCUUUAAAGAGACACCUCUGGACCUGCUGCACCGGCUCUUCAUGAAGCUGGGUGGCACUCACUCUCUGUUCAGGGCCUGCUCAGAACCUGAGGACGCAGCCAUGGAGCGGUCGGCCUUCAUGGAGCUGGAUGCUGGGAGCAGGCUGGUGAUGCAUCUCCGCGAGUGGCCAGCCCUGCUGGUCAGCAGCACGGGCUGGACAGUUUACAUGAGCUGGUGAAACAUGAAGAAAAUGGCCUGGUCUUUGAGGACUCAGAGGAACUGGCAGCUCUGCAGAUGCUUUUCUCAAACUUUCCUGAUCCUGCAGGCAAGCUAAACCAGUUUUGGAAGAACCUGCGGGAGUCGCAGCAGCUCCGAUGGGAUGAGAGCUGGGUGCAGACUGUGCUCCCUUUGGUUAUGGACAUACAACUCCUGGGCCAGAGGCUAAAACCCCGGGACCCCUGCUGUCCUUCCCGCAGCUUCUUCUCGGAGUCUCAGGGCAAACCCUUUUGAGCAGCGCCUCCCAGUGGCCAGAAGCUGAAAUGACGGCAGUGGUGCCGCCUGGUGAAUGAAUUGGUUCUGUGACCCGGGAAGCUGUGCUUGGCUCUGAUUUCUUUUCCGGAGGCUCGGAAACACUUCCUCUCUUCUUCUGUUCUUCAUGCCCCAUGCCCCUGCUAGCGUAUUACUGUUCUGUGACUUCCCUGUGACCUCUGCAGUACUCCUUAUCCUGCGUUUGGUCUCCAGGUGUCACCUUUCUGCCGUGUUCCUAACAUUUUGAUUCCUGUCUUGAAAAAAGCACCUGCUGCAUCGUAAGCCCAGGGAUGUGGCAGCUGCAGCGGGCUUGGCUUUGUGAAGAACUGAGUGUGUCCGCGGAUGUGGCAGCUGCAGCAGUCUUGGCUUUGUGAGGAACCAAGUGUGUCCAGGGAUGUGGCAGCUGCAGCAGGCUUGGCUUUGUGAGGAACCGAGUGUGUCCACAUACUUGAUACACACGUUUUUAUUUGCACAAAGAAAAUGCUAUUUUU